GGGAAGGUGGCUCAGUGGUAGAGCACUUGCCUUGCAUGCAAAAUAAACUCCAAGAAAUGGAAGUAGAAGGGUUUUUUAAAUUAUACUGCUUUUACUUCUUUUUCUUA
Molecule: transfer RNA, 107 nt
Filed under: Dipodomys ordii (Ord's kangaroo rat)
Lineage: Eukaryota; Metazoa; Chordata; Mammalia; Rodentia; Heteromyidae
Rfam family: tRNA
About the family: Transfer RNA (tRNA) molecules are approximately 80 nucleotides in length. Their secondary structure includes four short double-helical elements and three loops (D, anti-codon, and T loops). Further hydrogen bonds mediate the characteristic L-shaped molecular structure. tRNAs have two regions of fundamental functional importance: the anti-codon, which is responsible for specific mRNA codon recognition, and the 3' end, to which the tRNAs corresponding amino acid is attached (by aminoacyl-tRNA synthetases). tRNAs cope with the degeneracy of the genetic code in two manners: having more than one tRNA (with a specific anti-codon) for a particular amino acid; and 'wobble' base-pairing, i.e. permitting non-standard base-pairing at the 3rd anti-codon position.
Source: Rfam by way of RNAcentral